CCUACGGGUGGCAGCAGUGAGGAAUAUUGGUCAAUGGACGAGAGUCUGAACCAGCCAAGUAGCGUGAAGGAUGACUGCCCUAUGGGUUGUAAACUUCUUUUAUAUGGGAAUAAAACGUUCCACGUGUGGGAUUUUGUAUGUACCAUAUGAAUAAGGAUCGGCUAACUCCGUGCCAGCAGCCGCGGUAAUACGGAGGAUCCGAGCGUUAUCCGGAUUUAUUGGGUUUAAAGGGAGCGUAGGGGGAUUGUUAAGUCAGUUGGGAAAGUUUGCGGCUCAACCGUAAAAUUGCAGUUGAAACUGGCAGUCUUGAGUACAGUAGAGGUGGGCGGAAUUCGUGGUGUAGCGGUGAAAUGCUUAGAGGGGGGGGAGGGGGGGCAUUGCGAAGGCAGUUCACUGGACUGCAACUGACACUGAGGCUCGAAAGUGUGGGUAUCAAACAGGAUUAGAUACCCGAGUAGUC
Molecule: ribosomal RNA, 460 nt
Filed under: uncultured bacterium
Lineage: Bacteria
Description: partial 16S ribosomal RNA
Rfam family: Bacterial small subunit ribosomal RNA
Source: RNAcentral